UGCAUUUCAAUAAGCGGAGGAAAAGAAACUAACAAGGAUUCCCCUAGUAACGGCGAGUGAAGAGGGAAGAGCCCAAGAUUGAAAGCUGGCGUCUUCGGCGUCCGCAUUGUAAUCUCAAGAAGUGUUUUCCGCUUCGGACCAUGCCUAAGUCCCUUGGAAAAGGGCAUCAUAGAGGGUGAUAAUCCCGUACAUGGCAUGGAGCGCCCGAAGCUUUGUGAUACGCUUUCUACGAGUCGAGUUGUUUGGGAAUGCAGCUCAAAAUGGGUGGUAAAUGCCAUCUAAGGCUAAAUAUUGGGGAGAGACCGAUAGCGAACAAGUACAGUGAUGGAAAGAUGAAAAGAACUUUGAAAAGAGAGUUAAACAGUACGUGAAAUUGCCAAAAGGGAAGGGUAGGAGGUCAGAGAUGCGUCUUGGGAUUCAGCCUUGCUUUUUCGCUUGGUGUUUUUCCCAAGUUGCAGGCCAACGUCGGUUUUGGGCACUGGAGAAGGGUGGGAGGAACGUGGCACCUCUCGGGGUGUGUUAUAGCCUCCUACUGGAUACAGCGACCGAGACCGAGGACAGCAGCGUACUCGCAAGAGCGGGCCUUCGGGCACCUUUACGCUUAGGGCGUUGGCAUAAUGGCCCUCUACCACCCGUCUUGAAACA
This 645-nucleotide ribosomal RNA is filed under the name Sporisorium cruentum. RNAcentral describes it as "LSU rRNA". It matches the Rfam family "Eukaryotic large subunit ribosomal RNA", at positions 37 to 661 of the family's 3401-position model. The record is from RNAcentral. Lineage: Eukaryota; Fungi; Basidiomycota; Ustilaginomycetes; Ustilaginales; Ustilaginaceae.